Gasterosteus aculeatus aculeatus (three-spined stickleback) is the source of this 1599-nucleotide long non-coding RNA. NCBI's taxonomy places the organism in Eukaryota, Metazoa, Chordata, Actinopteri, Perciformes, Gasterosteidae. The record is from Ensembl.
CUUCUCUCUAGAGUACGCAUCAUUCACAUAGAAACAAAAAAAAUGGAAAAUAGGGGCGGGUUCAAAAGUUGCCCUUUCAAAACUUAAAUUCAUGAAAAUCUAUUUACUGUUAAAAUGAAUAACCAAGAGGGCCCAAUUAGUGACGUUUCAUUGGAUAAAGACAUGAGCUUGCAGAAAAAACCUACCAAGGUUUUCUCCGUUAUUUUGCUAGUCACUUUUUCAGCAUUGACCUGGCUGUCAUUUGCAAUUUGUCCCUCGUGUUUUCCAACGGCGGCUAUAAAAGUCUCUGAUAGCAAACAGAUCUGGGACACUGCUUUAUUUAGUUUAGGUUGCAGUCACCCAUGGAGCCAAGGGUUUUUACUCCGAGUGAGUGAUGUAUCAUUACUAAAGCAGUAGUAAAAUACGACAGCAGACUUUUUACAAAGGCAGAUUGCCAUGAAUCGAUUUCAAAUAUAGGAAAUAUAUUCAAUAAAAUAAUUAUGAAAUCAUAUCAUAAAAAACAAGGUCCACUGACAAAGUCACAGUAUUUAAUUGCAGGUAUUUAAUUUCAAGGCUGGCACGAUGAAUUCUCAAGCUGCACGGUCAUCUCCCACCUGGGAAAGACUAUUUUGUCGACUUGUGCAGGAGUGUCCGAGGCUGGGAGCCGUACGUUAGUUAGACGAACAGUUGGAAGACGGGUUGUACAGAAUCUGUUGAAUGAAAACCACAACAGCGCUGGUGAGGGCAGGUGUCUCAGUCUCGCGGCCGCAUCCUGCCCGCCGCAGGUGUCCGACUAGCGCCGCCGGACCGUCAGCGCCGCCCCCUCGCCGGGUACCGGUCGCCGGUCGGACCGUCAGCACCACACUUCAAUAUUAACCCCGAAGUUUAGUUUCUGACUCACCGAUCAGUCGAUUAUUUGUACGUAAAAUCCACCCGCCGCUGUUUCCUCGUGAAGACGUCGAUCACAGCGGUGUAAACUCGUCUCAGAUCGGUGAUAUCGUUGAACACCGCCGUCAUAUUGAAUUUCGCGGGGAUUAGCCUUACAACGUGGCUGGCGUAGUGACGUCACCGCGCAAAUGUCCAGCAAUAUCUCGAUUUUAAUUGGUCCAUGUGAAACGUAACGCAGAUGAUUACUUGUAUAACUUGCAAAGGCACAGCAGAGUUGUAAUUUUCGCCGUAACCCUGUGAGUGACUAAUAAUUGGCGCUAUAAACACAUAAAGUGUUCUCUUAUAGUGUGAGGCACUUAAACAAACAGACCAAAAAAAAUUGAAUCGAAAUCAUAUGUGCAAGUAUUUACUCAGAUACAUCAGACAUCUUUCCUCCAAGAUUCACAUGUUGCAUGUAAUAUAUUUCCACAAAUACAAGUUGAAGUAGUCUAAAAGAAAGGAUACGAAUUCCUGAAAACACAGGUCAUAGUGAACUUCGAGCUUAGUCCAGCACAUCGUUCAGUGCAACAUAUUAUCAUUCUACACUGUGCACAGACCACAACUGAUUUGAAUAGCAUUUAGUAAUAAAUAAUUUUAAAAAAUUGUAGCCAAAUGUUUUUUAGUGAUAGGGAUUCUGUUUGGGUCUCAAACAGACAACUCUGGUCAAAUGCUAUUCUUGUAUGGUCAGUUAAC